AUUUCCCAGCUCUCCUGAGACUCCCUCUCUGGACCUACUAGGGUUGUUGUGAAGAGUAAUUGAGAGUUUUAGGAAGAGGAUUACGUCGUGUGAACAAGGCUUGAAUUGCUUUCAGGAUCCACAGAUUUGUGGCACUGUGGACGUAAGACGUGGGGGCCUGAGUGAGAAGCUGCGGUGAGUGCGAGAGGGAUUAAGACUCCCUGAGAGCAGGCGCCUGGCCGUGGGAAAGCCCUGGCUGGAGUCCUGGCUCUUCCGUUUGCUACAUCAAAACUCACCCUCUACAGAGUUGUCGGGAUUGUUAGAAACAAGAAGGUGCAUACGGAAAGUGCCUGGCUACUAAUCUGUGCUCUAGCUGUCAUUUUGUCUACGUUCCUAAAAAGCCUUGUAGAUGGAUGUGGUUGUGGGAUUCCUGAGAUGGCUGCUUAAAGGGAAGCUACUUUAGCUGAGACCCCUGCAAUUGUAUUCUCUCCCACGUCCUCCCUCUGCUGACCUGGAACCCAGAUAUGAUGGUGGGAGCUUCAACAGUCACACUGGACCAUGAAGCAACCUUGAGAAUGAAGGCAAACGAUACAGAUUGUAGAGCAUAAUGGUACAGCUUGUGUCACUGAUGACAUGGAGUGAUACUGUACCAACUCUGGACUACCUACUCUGGAUAUCUUCUUUGUACAAAAAUAAACUAUCAUGUUUAAGCGAGUGUAAUUUUUUGUUAUAUAAAUAGGACU
Long non-coding RNA from Orcinus orca (killer whale), 722 nucleotides. RefSeq lists it as uncharacterized. The transcript has 3 exons. NCBI's taxonomy places the organism in Eukaryota, Metazoa, Chordata, Mammalia, Artiodactyla, Delphinidae. The record is from RefSeq and is a predicted model, not a curated record.